Molecule: signal recognition particle RNA, 99 nt
Filed under: Acidimicrobiales bacterium
Lineage: Bacteria; Bacillati; Actinomycetota; Acidimicrobiia; Acidimicrobiales
Description: signal recognition particle sRNA small type
Rfam family: Bacterial small signal recognition particle RNA
About the family: The signal recognition particle (SRP) is a universally conserved ribonucleoprotein involved in the co-translational targeting of proteins to membranes. Archaeal SRP consists of a 7S RNA and homologues of the eukaryotic SRP19 and SRP54 proteins. In most bacteria, the SRP consists of a 4.5S RNA and the Ffh protein (a homologue of the eukaryotic SRP54 protein).
Source: RNAcentral
GGCCGGGUUCUGCGCAAUGGGACCUCGUGAACCGAGUCAGGGCCGGAAGGCAGCAGCUCUCAGCGAUCCGCCCCGUGUGCCGCAGGGGACCUGGCCGUU